UUAUAAGAGUGAACUCUGAUUUUACAGUGAAGAUGUAAAGUUUUUAUUAAACUAUAUAAACUAGAAAU
RNAcentral lists this transfer RNA (68 nucleotides) under Libnetis sp. UPOL A00577. Its description in RNAcentral is "tRNA-Gln". The record is from RNAcentral. Lineage: Eukaryota; Metazoa; Arthropoda; Insecta; Coleoptera; Lycidae.